CCUACGGGUGGCAGCAGUGGGGAAUAUUGCACAAUGGGGGAAACCCUGAUGCAGCGACGCCGCGUGAGUGAAGAAGUAUCUCGGUACGUAAAGCUCUAUCAGCAGGGAAGAAAAUGACGGUACCUGACUAAGAAGCCCCGGCUAACUACGUGCCAGCAGCCGCGGUAAUACGUAGGGUGCAAGCGUUAUCCGGAUGUACUGGGUGUAAAGGGAGCGUAGACGGCAGCACAAGUCUGGAGUGAAAUCCCGGGGCUUAACCCCGGAACUGCUGUGGAAACUGUGCGGCUGGAGUGCAGGUGGGGUAAGCGGAAUUCGUGGUGUAGCGGUGAAAUGCGUAGAUAUUAGGAGGAACACCGGUGGCGAAGGCAGCUUACUGGACUGUAACUGACGUUGAGGCUCGAAAGCGUGGGGAGCAAACAGGAUUAGAUACCCCAGUAGUC
Molecule: ribosomal RNA, 440 nt
Filed under: uncultured bacterium
Lineage: Bacteria
Description: partial 16S ribosomal RNA
Rfam family: Bacterial small subunit ribosomal RNA
Source: RNAcentral